UCGCCUCUUUGUUCAUCCUCCUUUUCCGCCUUUGUCUAUGUUGCACUUCCCUCAACUAGUGUUUUCAGCUCCUUUUGCUGUGGGUGAUCAACUUUCUUCAUCCCUCCAUGGAUGUCUUCUUCUUGCUAAACUUGCAGAAGUGUGUUACCCGGUGGACGUCCAUGAGUUCAGCUGGAACUCAAAGGAGGUUUAGAACAUUGAUUCUCGUCUGCCUAGAUCUGACUAAAGCUGAAGUGGUGAAAAACAAGUUGCUCCCGACCACCGUCCUUCAGUAAUGGCAAAUGAGUUCAAGUGCUUAGUUUUCAAAUCUAUUCCCCAACCUUCGAUUUUUGCUAGAGUACCUUUUUGGUGGCUCAUAUACCAUAGUCUAGUUAGCAUUCUCACAUUUGUUGUACCUAUGAGCCGACCACAAACUAUCUUGUAAUUAAUAUAGCUGUGACACACUGUGGUCCUUUUAUUGCUUGUUAUCAUGAC
Long non-coding RNA from Capsicum annuum, 474 nucleotides. RefSeq lists it as uncharacterized. The record is from RefSeq and is a predicted model, not a curated record. NCBI's taxonomy places the organism in Eukaryota, Viridiplantae, Streptophyta, Magnoliopsida, Solanales, Solanaceae. The transcript is spliced from 3 exons.